UGCCUGAGCCUGGAAGAAUACCUGGUC
Molecule: non-coding RNA, 27 nt
Filed under: Homo sapiens (human)
Lineage: Eukaryota; Metazoa; Chordata; Mammalia; Primates; Hominidae
Source: RNAcentral